Molecule: ribosomal RNA, 290 nt
Filed under: uncultured bacterium
Lineage: Bacteria
Description: partial 16S ribosomal RNA
Rfam family: Bacterial small subunit ribosomal RNA
Source: RNAcentral
CGCCUACGGGGGGCAGCAGUCGGGAAUAUUGCGCAAUGGAGGAAACUCUGACGCAGUGACGCCGCGUAUAGGAAGAAGGUUUUCGGAUUGUAAACUAUUGUCGUGAGGGAAGAAAUUGACUGUACCUCAGGAGGAAGCUCCGGCUAACUAUGUGCCAGCAGCCGCGGUAAUACGUAGGUGGCAAGCGUUGUCCGGAAUUACUGGGUGUAAAGGGAGCGUAGGCGGGAAGCCAAGUCAGCUGUGAAAACUACGGGCUUAACCUGUAGACUGCAGUUGAAACUGGCUUUCUU